Molecule: long non-coding RNA, 2307 nt
Organism: Cygnus olor (mute swan)
Lineage: Eukaryota; Metazoa; Chordata; Aves; Anseriformes; Anatidae
Exons: 2
Source: RefSeq, a predicted model, not a curated record
AAUAAAGAAGAAACUACAGCUAUUAAUAUCUGAAUUGCCCCUCUCGCUUCAAACCCAGCCCGCUUUGUGUGCCGCUGCCUGCCGGGCUGACCCGGGGCCGGGGGGGGGGCUCCGGGGGCUCCGCUUCCAGCACCGGCAACAACAAAGCUGAGCCAGGCCGGCGGCCCCGGCGCUGGGAAACCCAGGAUCCCCCCCCUCGUCCCCCCCCCAGCCACCCCUCCUGCGGCUCCGAGGGGUUCGGCUUUGUGCCCCCCAUCGGUGCGGGGCGGCCCGGGGGCGGGGGGCACCGGCAAUACGGUCCCCAAGACCCGGAGCACGGUCCCCCCCAACCGUGUUUCUCGCCCCCCGAGCACACGGGCGCCGCUGCUGCUGCUGUCCCCCCUCCCAGCACCCCCGGCCCCAGCCUCGCUCGGCCCUUUUAUAAAAAUAAAAAUGAAGGCGGCCAGGGCAGCCCCCGCCACCCCCGGCAGGUCCCCCCGCCGGGCCGGGGGCAUUAUCCGGCGGCACCUUCCUCGGCUGCCGGUGGAAAGUGGGCCUUUCAUUUUGUUAAUAAAUUUCCACGGUGACAGCGAGAGAAAAGGGAGAGAGAAAAAGGGCUCGGAGGCAGGGAGACGGCGAGGAGGGCGAACGCCUAAAACGUGCUUGAUUUAUAUUUGUUCUCGCCCGCGUUACGAGGUUAGUUACUCUUGCAGAAACACAAAGAAGAGGAGCCCGGCAAGUCCCGAGCCCCCUCACCCUUAACCUACAUAGCGGCGUCCAGCCCCGGAGCACGCACUGACAAACGGCAGGCUCACAUUUCUCCUCUAAUUUUAUAUCACAAAGGCUCGGCUCGCAGAGAAGCCGGGCACCCCUCACUUACUUCUGGGCUGCUCCUUUUCCCCCCAGCCUCCCCUUCUGGCCCCUGCCUCCGCCGGAGGGGCGAGGGCAGAGGAGGGAGAAGAGAAAAGUGAGCUAAGAAACCGGCGGGGAAGCGGGCACACGGCGCGGCCGGGCGCGCACCCACGCGCGGGGCUGUGCACGCGUGUAUUUGUGGUUUUAAAGGAGGAAAAUCCGGCUGGGAAUCCACAGUGGAGUGCUGUAGAGCCUCGGUAGGGCGCGGCGAGAGCAGCAGCCGAGGGUAGACCCCCUAAGGACGCGGGGAGAGCCGCCCGUCUCUGCAUACACCGCGACCGGCCGGGGGACGGAGAGAGGAGAGGAAAAAGAGAGAAAAAUAAAGCAAAAAAAAGCAAAACCUGAAAAAAAACAACCACCCAAAACCUUCUCAAAGAGAGGGAGAAACACCAGCUCCCAGCCACGCAUCCGUGUCCGCUCGCCUCCGGCCCCGCAAAAGGGCUCAGCGCCCCGCACCUCUCCCCGCUGCCCCCGGCUCUGUGCCGCAGAAAUAUCGGGGUCCCCCUCGCCGCAGGUGCUGAGGUGAUGGGGAAGGUGCCCAAAGCCCCCAAAAGUGCCUUUGCCCCCCUGCUCAGCCCCCACGGACGGGGAUGCUCGGAGGCUCGGUCUCAAAAGACGAGGCUGCGGCAUCCCCGUCGAGGCUGCCGGGGCGAAAUUCGCUCUCCCCGAAGCGGGGACCAGUUGGGGCCGGGGAAGGCUUUGAGGAUGGGGAGAGGAAGCUUUCCCCGGUAAAAGGAGAGCAACAGCCUUCUGGUUCCCAAACAACCCGGCCACCCGGCCCCGAGGAGGUCACCUUUCGGGGACAGAGGGGGAGAAGGUGGGGGUGCAAAAUGUAGGAUAGUCACAGAUUGUUGCUGAUGUUGAAUUUCCUGAGGAAAAAAAAAAAAAAAAAAAAGGCUUUCCUGUCUCGAAUCUGACAAAGUAAACAGGAUUAAUUCACCAUAUGCAGAAAAAAAGCAUUAAUACAGUCCUGACAAAUGCAGAAAUCAGAAGAAAGCGGUUUUAGCAGGACCUACGAUAGGAACAGUUUGAACGUAUGAUCGUAAAAAUGAAAAGCCAUUGAUACACGCUUAAAAGCUGCCGUAUACGCUGAUUGCUCAAGCAUUAAUGAAGAAUGCCCCAGAUUAACUAUUUGCUCUUGCAGGGAUGUAGCCAUAUAACUAUCUAUUAGCACCAUUAGAUGCCUUGCUAUUUAUUUGAAAACACCCCUGCGAGGGGGUAGAGGCAGAAGAGGCGAAGGUAGAAAUGGUCUGCAGCUAAUUCUGCUAAAUAAUAUCUGCAAGCCGAGCGCCUCGUGAAGAAGGGGGAGAUUCCCAACUGUCCUUCUCCGAGCCCAGUCACAAUAGAACCGCUCUCUUUGAAAAGUCAGACUGUAUUGGUUUCCCCAAAUAAAUAAACGCAUCCCUCCUGCCAUUU